Molecule: ribosomal RNA, 572 nt
Filed under: uncultured bacterium
Lineage: Bacteria
Description: bacterial SSU rRNA
Rfam family: Bacterial small subunit ribosomal RNA
Source: RNAcentral
AGAGUUUGAUCCUGGCUCAGGAUGAACGCUAGCGGCAGGCUUAAUACAUGCAAGUCGUGGGGCAGCGCAGUGUAGCAAUACAUGGGCGGCGACCGGCAAACGGGUGCGUAACACGUACGCAACCUUCCCGUUACUGGUGAAUAGCCCAGGGAAACUUGGAUUAAUACACCAUAUUAUAUUGAUUGGGCAUCUGAUUAAUAUCAAAGCUUCGGCGGUAACGGAUGGGCGUGCGGUUGAUUAGGUAGUUGGCGGGGUAACGGCCCACCAAGCCUACGAUCAAUAGCUGAUGUGAGAGCAUGAUCAGCCACACGGGCACUGAGACACGGGCCCGACUCCUACGGGAGGCAGCAGUAAGGAAUAUUGGGCAAUGGACGAAAGUCUGACCCAGCCAUGCCGCGUGGAGGAUGAAGGUCCUCUGGAUUGUAAACUUCUUUUUUCUGGGGCGAAAACCGGUCAUUCCUGACCAUUUGACAGUACCAGAAGAAUAAGCACCGGCUAACUCCGUGCCAGCAGCCGCGGUAAUACGGAGGGUGCAAGCGUUAUCCGGAUUCACUGGGUUUAAAGGGUGCGUA